AAAGAUUAAGCCAUGCAUGUCUAAGUAUAAACAACAAUACAGUGAAACUGCGAAUGGCUCAUUAUAUCAGUCAUCAUUGACUUGAUUGUACCCCAUACCACUUGGAUACCCGUGGUAACUCUAUGGCUAAUACAUGCACACACACGGCCCAGCUCCUUUACUGGAAGGGCCAGCAUUUAUUAGAUAUAAAGCCGAUACGCCCUCGGGCGGCACUGGUGAUUCAUAAUAACUGAGCGAAUCGUAGCAAUACGAUGGGUCAAUCAAAUCUCUGCCCUAUCAACUUUCGAUGGUACGGUAGUGGCCUACCAUGGUUGCAACGGGUAACGGGGAAUCAGGGUUUGAUUCCGGAGAGGGAGCCUGAGAAACGGCUACCACUUCUAAGGAAGGCAGCAGGCGCGCAAAUUACCCAAUGCUGAUUCAGCGAGGUAGUGACAAUAAAUAACAAGCCAGGGCCCAUUGGGUCAUGGUAUUGCAAUGAGUACAACGCAAACACCUUAACGAGGAACAAUUAGAGGGCAAGUCUGGUGCCAGCAGCCGCGGUAAUUCCAGCUCUAAUAGUGUAUAUUCACGUUGCUGCAGUUAAAACGCUCGUAGUCGGAGUGUGGGAGCUGGAGGGCAUGGGCCUUGGCGCAAGCCGAGUGCCCGCAUGUGCCUUCCCCCCAAGCAUUCCUGGGAGUGGCUUGCUCCUUCGGGGGCAUGUCAGUGUCCAGGACGUUUACCUUGAAAAAAUUAGAGUGUUCAAAGCAGGCAUUUUGCUUGAAUAUAUUAGCAUGGAAUAAUGGAAUAGGACCCUGGGUCUUGUUUUGUUGGCUUUACUUGGCCGCGGGUAAUGAUUAAUAGGAGCAGUUGGGGGCAUUUGAACUGGGCGGUUAGAGGUGAAAUUCUUGGAUCCGCCCAAGUCAGACUAGUGCGAAAGCAUUUGCCCAGCAUGUGUCCGUUGAUCAAGAACGAAAGUUAGGGGAUCGAAGACGAUUAGAUACCGUCGUAGUCUUAACUAUAAACGAUGCCGACUGGGGAUGAGCCGCCUUUUCAGAGGCGGUUUGGACUCUGGGAGAAAUCAAAGUGUUUGGGUUCCGGGGGGAGUAUGGUCGCAAGGCUGAAACUUGAAGGAAUUGACGGAAGGGCACCACCAGAAAUGGAGCCUGCGGCU
RNAcentral lists this ribosomal RNA (1150 nucleotides) under Coemansia aciculifera. RNAcentral describes it as "SSU rRNA". It matches the Rfam family "Eukaryotic small subunit ribosomal RNA", at positions 39 to 1190 of the family's 1831-position model. The record is from RNAcentral. Lineage: Eukaryota; Fungi; Kickxellomycota; Kickxellomycetes; Kickxellales; Kickxellaceae.